RNAcentral lists this ribosomal RNA (253 nucleotides) under uncultured bacterium. RNAcentral's name for it is "partial 16S ribosomal RNA". It matches the Rfam family "Bacterial small subunit ribosomal RNA", at positions 524 to 776 of the family's 1533-position model. The record is from RNAcentral.
UACAGAGGGUGCAAGCGUUGUUCGGAAUUAUUGGGCGUAAAGGGCGCGUAGGCGGUGCGGUAAGUCUGUAGUGAAAUCUCUGGGCUCAACUCAGAGUCUGCUAUAGAAACUGCAGUGCUGGAGUGUGGGAGAGGUGAGUGGAAUUCCCGGUGUAGCGGUGAAAUGCGUAGAUAUCGUAAGGAAGACCAGUGGCGAAGGCGGGUCUCUGGACAGUUCCUGACGCUGAGGCACGAAGGUCAGGGGAGCAAACGGG